RNAcentral lists this ribosomal RNA (412 nucleotides) under uncultured bacterium. Its description in RNAcentral is "bacterial SSU rRNA". It matches the Rfam family "Bacterial small subunit ribosomal RNA", at positions 28 to 423 of the family's 1533-position model. The record is from RNAcentral.
GAUGAACGCUGGCGGCGUGYUUAACACAUGCAAGUSGAACGGGGAACAAAUUAUUGAAGCUUCGGCAGAUCUAGCUUGUUCCUAGUGGCGGACGGGUGAGUAACGCGKGGGUAACCUGCCUCACACUGGGGGAUAACAGUCAGAAAUGGCUGCUAAUACCGCAUAAGCGCAUAGUACCGCAUGGUACAGUGUGAAAAACUCCGGUGGUGUGAGAUGGACCCGCGUUGGAUUAGCUAGUUGGCAGGGCAGCGGCCUACCAAGGCGACGAUCCAUAGCCGGCCUGAGAGGGUGAACGGCCACAUUGGGACUGAGACACGGCCCAGACUCCUACGGGAGGCAGCAGUGGGGAAUAUUGCACAAUGGGGGAAACCCUGAUGCAGCGACGCCGCGUGAAGGAAGAAGUAUCUCGGUA